GACGAACGCUGGCGGCGUGCUUAACACAUGCAAGUCGAGCGGUAAGGCCCUUUCGGGGGUACGACGAGCGGCGAACGGGUGAGUAACACGUGGGUGGACCUGCCCUCCAGCUCUGGGAUAAGCCUGGGAAACCGGGUCUAAUACUGGAUAUGACUCCAUGACGCAUGUUGUGGGGUGGAAAGCCUUGUGCGGCUGAGGAUGGGCCCGCGGCCUAUCAGCUUGUUGGUGGGGUGAUGGCCUACCAAGGCGACGACGGGUAGCCGGCCUGAGAGGGCGACCGGCCGACACUGGGACUGAGACACGGCCCAGACUCCUACGGGA
RNAcentral lists this ribosomal RNA (321 nucleotides) under uncultured bacterium. RNAcentral's name for it is "bacterial SSU rRNA". It matches the Rfam family "Bacterial small subunit ribosomal RNA", at positions 28 to 346 of the family's 1533-position model. The record is from RNAcentral.